CACGGCAAGUGAUUUAAAUAAUUCCUUAUUGUCGAAAAGAGUUUAAAUAAAUUAUUGUUAGUUCUUUAGUAAAUUAUUGUUGCUGUUUUUAUAUGCAUUUACAAUAAAACAAUAACAUAAAUUUAAAUUAUCGAAUUGACUCAGCAGACCAUGGAAAAUCUAACACGGUCGGCACGGCAAGUGAUUUAAAAAAUUCCUCAUUGUCGAAAAUAGAUUGAAUGAAGUAUUGUUACUUCUUCAGUAAAUUAUUGUUAGUGUUUUUACUUUUUUUUACUAUAAAACAAUGACAUAAUUUAAAAUUAUCGAAUUGACUCAGCAGACCAUGAAAAUCUAACACGGUCGGCACGGCAAGUGAUUUAAAUAAUUCCUUAUUGUCGAAAAGAGUUUAAAUAAAUUAUUGUUAGUUCUUUAGUAAAUUAUUGUUGCUGUUUUUAUGUGUAUUUACAAGAAAACAAUAACAUAAAUUUAAAUUAUCGAAUUGACUCAGCAGACCAUGAAAAAUCUAACACGGUCGGCACGGCAAGUGAUUUAAAUAAUUCCUUAUUGUCGGAAAUAGAUUAAAUAAGUUAUUAUUACUUCUUCAGUAAAUUAUUGUUAGUGUUUUUACUUGUUUUUACUAUAAAACAAUGACAUAAUCUAAAAUUAUCGAAUUGACUCAGCAGACCAUGAAAAUUUUACACGGUCUGCACGGCAAGUGAUUUAAAUAAUUCCUUAUUGUCGAAAAGAGUUUAAAUAAAUUAUUGUUAGUUCUUUAGUAAAUUAUUGUUGCUGUUUUUAUAUGCAUUUACAAUAAAACAAUAACAUAAAUUUAAAUUAUCGAAUUGACUCAGCAGACCAUGAAAAAUCUAACACGGUCGGGACGGCAAGUGAUUUAAAUAAUUCCUUAUUGUCGAAAAGAGUUUAAAUAAAUUAUUGUUAGUUCUUUAGUAAAUUAUUGUUGCUGUUUUUAUAUGCAUUUACAAUAAAACAAUAACAUAAAUUUAAAUUAUCGAAUUGACUCAGCAGACCAUGGAAAAUCUAACACGGUCGGCACGGCAAGUAAUUUAAAAAAUUCCUUAUUGUCGAAAAUAGAUUGAAUAAAGUAUUGUUACUUCUUCAGUAAAUUAUUGUUAGUGUUUUUACUUUUUUUUACUAUAAAACAAUGACAUAAUUUAAAAUUAUCGAAUUGACUCAGCAGACCAUGAAAAUCUAACACGGUCGGCACGGCAAGUGAUUUAAAUAAUUCCUUAUUGUCGAAAAGAGUUUAAAUAAAUUACUGUUAGUACUUUAGUAAAUUAUUGUUGGUGUUUUUAUUUUUUUUUUUUUACUAUAAAACAAUGGCAUCAUUUUAAAUUAUCGAACCGACUCAGCAGACCAGGAAAAAUCUAACACGGUCGGCACGGCAAGUGAUUUAAAUAAUUCCUUAUUGUCGAAAAAAGUUUAAAUAAAUUACUGUUAGUUCUUUAGUAAAUAAUUGUUGGUGUUUUUAUUUUUUUUUUUACUAUAAAACAAUAACAUAAUUUUAAAUUAUCUGAUUGACUCAGCAGACCAGGAAAAAUCUAACACGGUCGGCACGGCAAGUGAUUUAAAUAAUUACUUUAUUGUCGAAAAUAGUCUAAAUAAAUUAUUGUUACUCCUUUAGUAAAUUAUUGUUGCUGUUUUUAUCCAUAUUUACAAUGAAACAGUAACAUUAUUUUAAUUUAUCGAAUCCACCGCAGCAGACCAGGAAAAGCCUCACACGGUCGGCACGGUGAGUGAUAUAAGUAGUAAUUUUGUCUUUAUUAUUAUCAGUUUUAUUGCAUUAUCAAUCUUCUGACAAUACUUUAUUGUAAAUAUUUCACUUGAAAAGUUUUAUGUAGUCAGUAUGUGAUUGUAAUUUGAUUUCAAGGAAAUCUGUAGGUUUUUAAAAAUUCAAAUCUUGGCGGUCGUAUUGGUAGAUGUCAGAACGUUUUUUCUGUUUUCGGCCAUCUUUAAUUUUUCAGAAUGCGCGACUAUCAUUCGUUUUUUGGACUCGACUCGUUUUAUUGCAACUGUAAGCAUUAAUGAAACGUUCUUCUCAAACUCCAGUAUUCGAUUAAUUGCAAACUUAAAAAAAUAUCAGAGCCACUUUAUGAAAAAAAAAUAUUUUUUUCAUACGAGGAUGUCGAAAAUGCAUUGGCAGAGUACGAAAAUUCUACAAAACACAGACUGUCUGUUAAAAAUAGCAAAACUCUGCACAAUGUUCUCAAUGACAAAGGUAACGUGGAGCUUGAUGCUAAUUUAAUAUACAACGAGAUCUAUUAUCAGUGUUGCACUGUAAAAAACUCUGAUAAAUCCAAAUUGUGUCCAGCCACCUUGAAUCUUCACUUACCCCCAAUAAGCAUCAUUUAGAAGUUGAUUGCUGUAAUGUGGAUCAUGAUCACAGACCGUUACCAAUGCUUUAAAGCCUUUGUAUUCAGAUACUCGAAACAUUAUAAACCAAUUCGAAAAAGGCACUUAUUCGACUUGUGAAGCCAAAAGAACGACCGUGGAAUCAAAUAAUGAAAUAAAAAAUUUCUGGGAAAAUGUAAAUUACGGAAUGACAUCUGGUGGGAUGAGUGCUGAAGCAGUGUUUGCAAAAUUGAAUGAAUUUGAUAUUUUAAAAAAGCUUCGUAGCGGAGAAAUCGACAACGUGACGUACUCUGACGAUUUCGAAGAUGACAUUUAAAAAUUAAUUAAUAACAAAUAAUAAAAUUAACUGUAUUAAAAAUGAAAAUACAUAUAUUACUAGUGUGUAAAAGUAGA
This is a long non-coding RNA of Microplitis demolitor, 2742 nucleotides long. RefSeq lists it as uncharacterized. The record is from RefSeq and is a predicted model, not a curated record. NCBI's taxonomy places the organism in Eukaryota, Metazoa, Arthropoda, Insecta, Hymenoptera, Braconidae. The transcript has 3 exons.